GGACAAACUUGUUUUGUUUCAUCUUAUCACUGUUCUUAGUGGCGAACCACUCUUAAUUGACUAUUUAAAUAUCUGUCGAUGCAUUCCAUGUUAAUUAUCAUACCAAGCUAGUUAUUCCAGUUACGGACUUAAAGAAUUGAUGUGAAUAAUUUCGCCUAAAAUACAAAUUCAUUUUGAGAAUUCGUUUAGACGUUGUUAGUGUUCAAGUGAGAAAAUAUAGUCAGUACGAUAAACAUGAAACUAUUGUUCGUUUUCGUUCUUGUAACCGUAGCAAUUGUUCAGCUUGUCGCUGGAAUUGAGACGGCCCAGAAUGAUCCAUAUAGGGAAAUACCGGUUCCCACAACCACGUCGACGAGACCGCCAUGUGUACCGAUAACAUGUAGACCAUUCUGUCCCGAUGGAAGUCUUGUUCGUUACGGAACAGAUGAAUAUGGCUGCGGUCGCUGUUCAUGUGAAAAAAAAAUUGAAUGAACCUCUCCUCUGACUCAAACUGAUAAGAAUAACGAUGAAGUACAUGUUGAAUAAAUGAAAAAAAUUGAAGAAAAA
This is a long non-coding RNA of Bradysia coprophila, 546 nucleotides long. RefSeq lists it as uncharacterized. NCBI's taxonomy places the organism in Eukaryota, Metazoa, Arthropoda, Insecta, Diptera, Sciaridae. The record is from RefSeq and is a predicted model, not a curated record.